UACGUAGGGGGCAAGCGUUGUCCGGAUUUAUUGGGCGUAAAGAGCGUGUAGGCGGUUUGGUAGGUCCGUUGUGAAAACUCGAGGCUCAACCUCGAGACGCCGAUGGAAACCAUCAGACUAGGGUCCGGAAGAGGAGAGUGGAAUUCCUGGUGUAGCGGUGAAAUGCGCAGAUAUCAGGAGGAACACCGGUGGCGAAGGCGGGUCUCUGGGCCGAUACUGACGCUGAGGAGCGAAAGCGUGGGGAGCAAACAGG
RNAcentral lists this ribosomal RNA (253 nucleotides) under uncultured bacterium. RNAcentral's name for it is "partial 16S ribosomal RNA". It matches the Rfam family "Bacterial small subunit ribosomal RNA", at positions 524 to 776 of the family's 1533-position model. The record is from RNAcentral.